UCGCGGCGGCGGGGUGCCCAGGGAGCGGGUGUGGCCUCCGCGGGCUUCAACCCUUCCUCUGCCCUUGUUUACGCGCGGGCAAUGUCACCCCCGCCGCGUGACGUUGCCGCCCGGGGACCUCUUCCAGGAAGCGAGGACUCCGCUCCUUACUGGCUGUUGGCCAGACUAGCCUUCCAAAGGAGCCCAGAUCAGGGCCAGGCAUUCCCUCAAGAAGAGGAGGGGAGUGGACACCUAGAGGAUCCCCAAGGCUGGACCAGAAACGAGCAGAGAACCCGAGCUGUGAGGACCACGCCCCUGCCCAGCUGAUUGCCCCAGCGGGGAUUCUCCUUCUCGUUAGGCGGCACGCUCGGUCAAUUAAGCCAGCAUGGAUCUGAUACAAAGUAUCCUGGAGUAGUCCAGAUUGGGGAAGGCAAGUUGCUGAAGACCCUUGGAGAGGGGGUAACCAACCCCAAGGGCAGGAACCAGACCUUGAUGAUGUCCAGAAGAUGAACAGGACAAAGGUCAUAAGAUUUCAGUGAACUCGAAAGAAAUAAAGUGAACAAAAGUAAA
Molecule: long non-coding RNA, 549 nt
Organism: Alligator mississippiensis (American alligator)
Lineage: Eukaryota; Metazoa; Chordata; Crocodylia; Alligatoridae
Exons: 2
Source: RefSeq, a predicted model, not a curated record